This 338-nucleotide ribosomal RNA is filed under the name uncultured Pseudomonadota bacterium. RNAcentral describes it as "bacterial SSU rRNA". It matches the Rfam family "Bacterial small subunit ribosomal RNA", at positions 29 to 351 of the family's 1533-position model. The record is from RNAcentral. Lineage: Bacteria; Pseudomonadati; Pseudomonadota.
AGCGAACGUUAGCGGCGGGCCUAACACAUGCAAGUCGAGGGAGAAAGGGCUUCGGCUCCUAGUAAACCGGCGAACGGGUGAGUAACACGUGGGCAACCUACCCUUCAGCGGGGGACAACAGUUCGAAAGGACUGCUAAUACCGCAUACGUCGGCGAGGACUUCGGUCCUUGCCGGGAAAGACGGCCUCUCCAUGGAAGCUGUCACUGAAGGAUGGGCCCGCGUCCCAUCAGCUAGUUGGUGAGGUAACGGCUCACCAAGGCUAAGACGGGUAGCUGGUCUGAGAGGAUGAUCAGCCACACUGGGACUGAGACACGGCCCAGACUCCUACGGGUGGCAG